Equus caballus (horse) is the source of this 1788-nucleotide long non-coding RNA. NCBI's taxonomy places the organism in Eukaryota, Metazoa, Chordata, Mammalia, Perissodactyla, Equidae. The record is from Ensembl.
UCGUGAGUUAAUCCAAUAUGCUGUUCAGCACAUUGCCUAAUGAGCAUGUAUUUUCUGGGAGAACAGACUGGAGGGGACCCUUCUCUCCCCCCUCCCUGCCCCCAGCAGCCUUUACGGAGGCAUUUCUGGCAUCAUCGAAGUGGAUUUCCUUUCCUAGGGCCUCUCUGACUUUCGUGAUUCGGGCUGUGCACAGGGGUUCUCUGCUUUUAGUCUCUCAUUCCGUAUUUCCCAAAUGCCUCUCAGUGCCAGGCCUUUUGCGAGGUUCAGAAAUGAGGAGGACCCUCUCCUGCCGUGAGCAGCGCCGUGUCUACACUGAGGGCUCUUACGCAGUGCAAUUCCAGAGUGAACCAAAGAAGAAGACUCAGCCGUGAGUUCCCAGGGAGCCUCCAUGUGCUGGCAGGAAAACCACACUCCAAGCACGUUUUCAACGAGCAGUCUAAACCACUUGAAUUCGGGUCUCGAAAACCAAGAAACCAGUUCUAAGUGUUUUCACCUCUCCCACUGUUUCCUCCUAAAUUUCAUUAGGGCUGACAAUUUGUAUAUCCACUUACAGUGUAAUGUGAUUUAAAUGGCUGACCGUAACUGUUAGAGAUGGAGUUUUCCCAGGGUGUGGGGAGCAGAGGAGGCAGCCGGGGAGGCUUCCCAGCACAGUCGGGCCCUCUCCGCAUCCGUGCAGUACUUUAAAGGCCUGGAUGAGGCUUGUCAGACAUGGUGUCCACCCUAGGAGAUGGGAGGGGCAGCCUCUUGCCCUCCUUCCCUCUUCACCCCGCAAUCACUUUUGUUCUUGGAGGCCGAGCUAUCUUGGAGUUUUCGGCAUGCAAUAAAACACACGCGACCACAAGGCUCUUGUCGAGCCAGGACGGCUGCAGGAGAAAGCCAAGCCCGCUGGCUGGACCGUCUCCAUGGUUAGGCGGAAUUGAUAGUGUGUCCUGAUUCGUGGCUUGCUUUUUUGUUUUGGCUUUGUAACUAAAACAGAGCCGAUGCCUCCGAGAUGGGAAAUUCAGUUUUAUUUUGUCCCCUAUCAAUGUUUCACACACAUCGUGUAUGUCUGUGUGUGUGUGUGAAGCAGUUUGUCACGGGUUGGAUUUGGGUUGAAUCCUUGUGCUGUCUCAUGCAGUGAUCUCAGGCAUGUCAUUUUGCCUCUCUGAGUAUCAGUUUCUUCAUCUGUAAAACUAAGCUGGUGUUCCCUGCCUUGCGUAAUUAAUUAGGUGAAGUAUCUAGAACUGCACUGUCCAAUACAGGAGCCAUUAGCCACAUGUGGCUGUUUAAAUUUAAGUUAAUUAAAAUAAAAUAAAAUAAAAUACUGGGCUCCUCAGUCGUACGAGCCACAUCUCAAGUGCUCAGUAGCCACAUAUUUGAAAUGGCAGCAUAGCUGUGGGAUUUUCCAUCAUUGAGGAAAGUUCUACUGGAAGCACUGGCCCGGAGCCAUGCCUGCACCCAUUAGGUGCUCAGUAUGCACCCAAAGGAGGAAUUGUGCCCUCCACGACCUUUCAGCAGCACAAGCACCUGUGGUUGAAGUAAGUCAUAAAUACAUCUCGCAGAGAGCACUUUCCUCCAGAAUUCAGACUUUGAAACUCACAGAUCAGCUGUCUUGUUCUGUGGAGCCCUUUUCUUGUAUGUAUAAUGUCCAAACAUGGGAAAAUACGCCACAGAGAGGCAGACGCAACGCGAGAACAGCAAAGAUUGCAAAAUGCAAAUGGAGGCUGUAGUAUGGCAGGUGUUGAGUGUGCCAAUGGCUCUGGGCCGUAUUAGUUAAGGUUCUUUUAACUGCAAUCACAGAAUCCAGCU